RNAcentral lists this unclassified non-coding RNA (352 nucleotides) under soil metagenome. RNAcentral describes it as "partial contains 5.8S ribosomal RNA, internal transcribed spacer 2, and large subunit ribosomal RNA". The stretch from base 1 to 119 matches the Rfam family "5.8S ribosomal RNA", at positions 35 to 154 of the family's 154-position model. The record is from RNAcentral.
GAUGAAGAACGUAGCGAAAUGCGAUACGUAAUGUGAAUUGCAAAUUCAGUGAAUCAUCGAGUCUUUGAACGCACAUUGCGCCCGCGAGUAUUCUCGCGGGCAUGCCUGUCCGAGCGUCAUUUCAACCCUCAGGGCCCGCCUGCUUCGGCAGGCGCGGCGCUGGUGUUGGGGAUCGGCCUAACCGCCGUCCCCCAAAUACAGUGGCGGUCUCGCUGCAGCCUCCCCUGCGUAGUAGCAACACUCGCAUGCGGAGCGCGGCGCGGCCACGCCGUAAAACCCCCGACUUUCUGAACGUUGACCUCGGAUCAGGUAGGAAUACCCGCUGAACUUAAGCAUAUCAAUAAGCGGAGGA